ACGGGUGAGUAACGCGUGGGAAUCUACCGUACCCUACGGAAUAGCUCUGGGAAACUGGAAGUAAUACCGUAUACGCCCGGAAGGGGAAAGAUUUAUCGGGGUAUGAUGAGCCCGCGUUGGAUUAGCUAGUUGGUGGGGUAAAGGCCUACCAAGGCGACGAUCCAUAGCUGGUCUGAGAGGAUGAUCAGCCACAUUGGGACUGAGACACGGCCCAAACUCCUACGGGAGGCAGCAGUGGGGAAUAUUGGACAAUGGGCGCAAGCCUGAUCCAGCCAUGCCGCGUGAGUGAUGAAGGUCUUAGGAUUGUAAAGCUCUUUCAACGGUGAAGAUAAUGACGGUAACCGUAGAAGAAGCCCCGGCUAACUUCGUGCCAGCAGCCGCGGUAAUACGAAGGGGGCUAGCGUUGUUUGGAAUUACUGGGCGUAAAGCGCACGUAGGCGGGUAUUUAAGUCAGGGGUGAAAUCCCGCAGCUCAACUGCGGAACUGCCUUUGAUACUGGGUAUCUCGAGUAUGGAAGAGGUAAGUGGAAUUGCGAGUGUAGAGGUGAAAUUCGUAGA
RNAcentral lists this ribosomal RNA (557 nucleotides) under uncultured bacterium. RNAcentral describes it as "bacterial SSU rRNA". It matches the Rfam family "Bacterial small subunit ribosomal RNA", at positions 102 to 694 of the family's 1533-position model. The record is from RNAcentral.